RNAcentral lists this ribosomal RNA (613 nucleotides) under Rhodotorula mucilaginosa. RNAcentral describes it as "eukaryotic LSU rRNA". It matches the Rfam family "Eukaryotic large subunit ribosomal RNA", at positions 38 to 667 of the family's 3401-position model. The record is from RNAcentral. Lineage: Eukaryota; Fungi; Basidiomycota; Microbotryomycetes; Sporidiobolales; Sporidiobolaceae. RNAcentral also lists the same sequence under 11 other names.
GCAUAUCAAUAAGCGGAGGAAAAGAAACUAACAAGGAUUCCCCUAGUAGCGGCGAGCGAAGCGGGAAGAGCUCAAAUUUAUAAUCUGGCACCUUCGGUGUCCGAGUUGUAAUCUCUAGAAAUGUUUUCCGCGUUGGACCGCACACAAGUCUGUUGGAAUACAGCGGCAUAGUGGUGAGACCCCCGUAUAUGGUGCGGACGCCCAGCGCUUUGUGAUACAUUUUCGAAGAGUCGAGUUGUUUGGGAAUGCAGCUCAAAUUGGGUGGUAAAUUCCAUCUAAAGCUAAAUAUUGGCGAGAGACCGAUAGCGAACAAGUACCGUGAGGGAAAGAUGAAAAGCACUUUGGAAAGAGAGUUAACAGUACGUGAAAUUGUUGGAAGGGAAACGCUUGAAGUCAGACUUGCUUGCCGAGCAAUCGGUUUGCAGGCCAGCAUCAGUUUUCCGGGAUGGAUAAUGGUAGAGAGAAGGUAGCAGUUUCGGCUGUGUUAUAGCUCUCUGCUGGAUACAUCUUGGGGGACUGAGGAACGCAGUGUGCCUUUGGCGGGGGUUUCGACCUCUUCACACUUAGGAUGCUGGUGGAAUGGCUUUAAACGACCCGUCUUGAAACACGGACC